AUUUUUAUUUUAAUAUUAUUUCUGCUUGUAGAAUGAAUGUACCGCUGAAGUGGAAUCGUCAGGUACACUUUCUAAUUGUUUUUGUCUUGUUCGCGAUUCUGGUAUUGAAUUGCCAGAAAUUGUGUUGGGGUGGUCAUUUCAAAUAAAUAUAUCAUUUCCCGCUCCUCAAGUAUAGGCAACCAAUAUAACAUCUUUUCUCGUCAAAUUGUCAGGUCGCAAAAACUUGUUUUGAAUCCCAUCUGUGAAAUAUAGAUACAUCAAUUGGAACUCAUUUUUCCGCAUUUCUCGAGUGUAGAGCAUCUCAGCUAAUCCGAAUAAAGAUUUUCUGUCUUCGACCAUUUGAGUUGGAUUAUUUGGAAAAUUGCAGAUAAUAUCAUAAUUUUGCUGAUUAUUUUGGAUAUUUAUAUCACGUUUUGGAAUCAAGCAGAAUUUCCGUCUUGUACGGGAUAAAAAUUCUACAUACUCUGAUAGAAAUUUCUAUAAAAGCCGCCCUCCAUCUUAGGCUUUCAAUUCUUUCAAUUCUUCUGAAUAUUUUACUGAUUCGAUAUAUAAGUGGAUCAACCUGAAUUAUUGGCGUGUUGGUUGAUGCAAAGACAUCCCUUGGACAUAGGCACCCCCAUUGCCUUAUACUGAGGGUUGGAAUAACUUCUAACCGGUUGGGAGCGAACCGAAUUCAACAUUUCCA
This is a long non-coding RNA of Harmonia axyridis, 685 nucleotides long. RefSeq lists it as uncharacterized. NCBI's taxonomy places the organism in Eukaryota, Metazoa, Arthropoda, Insecta, Coleoptera, Coccinellidae. The record is from RefSeq and is a predicted model, not a curated record. The transcript has 2 exons.